AACGAACGCUGGCGGCAUGCCUAACACAUGCAAGUCGAACGAGCCCUUCGGGGUUAGUGGCGCACGGGUGCGUAACGCGUGGGAAUCUGCCCUUGGGUUCGGAAUAACAGUGAGAAAUUACUGCUAAUACCGGAUGAUGUCUUCGGACCAAAGAUUUAUCGCCCAAGGAUGAGCCCGCGUAGGAUUAGCUAGUUGGUGGGGUAAUGGCCUACCAAGGCGACGAUCCUUAGCUGGUCUGAGAGGAUGAUCAGCCACACUGGGACUGAGACACGGCCCAGACUCCUACGGGAGGCAGCAGUGGGGAAUAUUGGACAAUGGGCGAAAGCCUGAUCCAGCAAUGCCGCGUGAGUGAUGAAGGCCUUAGGGUUGUAAAGCUCUUUUACCCGGGAUGAUAAUGACAGUACCGGGAGAAUAAGCUCCGGCUAACUCCGU
RNAcentral lists this ribosomal RNA (432 nucleotides) under uncultured bacterium. Its description in RNAcentral is "partial 16S ribosomal RNA". It matches the Rfam family "Bacterial small subunit ribosomal RNA", at positions 29 to 506 of the family's 1533-position model. The record is from RNAcentral.